GUCAGAAUGUCGCAAAUGGUAGACGAGUCAGGGGGCAUGCAGUAAAAAAGACCUGAUGUUUAUAGGUUCGAAUCCUAUUUCUGACACCA
RNAcentral lists this transfer RNA (89 nucleotides) under Clostridium neonatale. Its description in RNAcentral is "Pseudo tRNA". It matches the Rfam family "tRNA". Rfam says of the family: Transfer RNA (tRNA) molecules are approximately 80 nucleotides in length. Lineage: Bacteria; Bacillati; Bacillota; Clostridia; Eubacteriales; Clostridiaceae. The record is from RNAcentral.